Molecule: ribosomal RNA, 634 nt
Filed under: uncultured eukaryote
Lineage: Eukaryota
Description: SSU rRNA
Rfam family: Eukaryotic small subunit ribosomal RNA
Source: RNAcentral
AGCAGCCGCGGUAAUUCCAGCUCCAAUAGCGUAUAUUCAAGUUGUUGCAGCUAAAAAGCUCGUAGUUGAAUUUUGGAUCUGGUCAAGUGGUUUGGGCGCAAGCUCAACACUACUUUGGCUGGGUCUAUUUCUUUUGGGGAAUUAAAGUGCUAUUUAUUUAGUGCUUUAGGGAACCAAAACUGUUACUUUGAAAAAAUUAGAGUGUUUAAAACAGGCUUAUGCUUGAAUACAUUAGCAUGGAAUAACGGAAUAGGACUUUGUUUCUAUUUUGUUGGUUUGAGAAAUGAAGUAAUGAUUAAUAGGGACAGUUGGGGGCAUUAGUAUUCCAUUGUCAGAGGUGAAAUUCUUGGAUUUAUGAAAGACUAACUUCUGCGAAAGCAUUUGCCAAGGAUGUUUUCAUUAAUCAAGAACGAAAGUUAGGGGAUCGAAGACGAUCAGAUACCGUCGUAGUCUUAACCAUAAACUAUGCCGACUAGGGAUCGGACAAUGUUACAUUAUUGACUUGUUCGGCACCUUAUGAGAAAUCAAAGUUUUUGGGUUCCGGGGGGAGUAUGGUCGCAAGGCUGAAACUUAAAGGAAUUGACGGAAGGGCACCACCAGGAGUGGAGCCUGCGGCUUAAUUUGACUCAACACG